Molecule: long non-coding RNA, 311 nt
Organism: Telopea speciosissima
Lineage: Eukaryota; Viridiplantae; Streptophyta; Magnoliopsida; Proteales; Proteaceae
Exons: 3
Source: RefSeq, a predicted model, not a curated record
AAUCUCUCUUUCUCAGAGGAAUAGAGGAGGAUGGAUCUCGUGACGUAGAUCAAAAGACUUUUUCUGUCUCUCUCUCGCUUCCGAUCUCGAUCACUUUCUACUGAUAUCUACUCCGAGAUUGAGAAUUGGGAUUGAGGCUCUGAGUCUUUUGACCUAUUCUUCUUUCAUUUGUUUGGUUUUCAUUGUUAAUUAUUAUCUACUUGAUUGUUAUCUAAUGUAUUAAAAUUGUUGAAGAAGGAUUUGUUUGGGUGUGAUCCGAGAUUGUAAUUUGAGAUUUUCUUUGACCUAUUUAUAAAUCUAAAUCUCUUACC